RNAcentral lists this ribosomal RNA (494 nucleotides) under uncultured bacterium. RNAcentral's name for it is "partial 16S ribosomal RNA". It matches the Rfam family "Bacterial small subunit ribosomal RNA", at positions 28 to 507 of the family's 1533-position model. The record is from RNAcentral.
GACGAACGCUGGCGGCGUGCCUAAUACAUGCAAGUCGAGCGGACUUAAAAAGCUUGCUUUUUAAGUUAGCGGCGGACGGGUGAGUAACACGUGGGCAACCUGCCUGUAAGACUGGGAUAACUUCGGGAAACCGGAGCUAAUACCGGAUAAUCCUUUUCUACUCAUGUAGAAAAGCUGAAAGACGGUUUACGCUGUCACUUACAGAUGGGCCCGCGGCGCAUUAGCUAGUUGGUGAGGUAACGGCUCACCAAGGCGACGAUGCGUAGCCGACCUGAGAGGGUGAUCGGCCACACUGAGACUGAGACACGGCCCAGACUCCUACGGGAGGCAGCAGUAGGGAAUCUUCCGCAAUGGACGAAAGUCUGACGAAGCAACGCCGCGUGAGUGAUGAAGGUUUUCGGAUCGUAAAACUCUGUUGUUAGGGAAGAACAAGUACGAGAGUAACUGCUCGUACCUUGACGGUACCUAACCAGAAAGCCACGGCUAACUACGUG